RNAcentral lists this unclassified non-coding RNA (188 nucleotides) under soil metagenome. Its description in RNAcentral is "partial internal transcribed spacer 1". The record is from RNAcentral.
CACAAUAAAAUAUGAAGGCUGUACGCGGCUGUGCUCUCGGGCCAGUUUUGCGGAGGCUGAAUUAUUUAUUACCCUUGUCUUUUGCGCACUUGUUGUUUCCUGGGCGGGUUCGCCCGCCACCAGGACCACAUCAUAAACCUUUUUAUGCAGUUGCAAUCAGCGUCAGUAUAACAAAUGUAAAUCAUUUA